This 80-nucleotide transfer RNA is filed under the name Actinomadura coerulea. Its description in RNAcentral is "tRNA-Ala". Lineage: Bacteria; Bacillati; Actinomycetota; Actinomycetes; Streptosporangiales; Thermomonosporaceae. The record is from RNAcentral.
GUCGCGCCUGGCGGACGGCCGCGCCGCGCUCGGCGAGUGCGGUCCCGAGGUCGCCGAGGUCCUGCGCCUCGGCGCGGAAC